AAAGUUUUAUUAUGAAAUCACUGAAGUCCAAUUUGAAUUAAAUUUCAGCCAAGGUACCUCCUUGGCUAAGGAUGAUAUAGACAGUGUGAAUUUUAGAUAGUUUACCUGUUCUGGGGUGUGCCAAUUUUGAUAUAUACUUGAAAUUAAUGGUUGCGUAAAUGACUAACUAAAAGGUGAAAACUAAGGAUAUAUAGAGAUAUUGUCUCAGAUUUGUUGUUGUUGUUUAUUUGUCUUCCCUGUCCUAUUUUCCUCACAAUGGACCUGCCUGAGCUGAUUAGAGAAUCUGCCCUGGUUGUGAACACUAUGGUUGCAUCUGUAAUAAGAAGCUGGAGAUCAAUAAUGAAUGAUUUCAAGGUGACUUAUUCAUUCUUCCAUGGCCACCAGCCCUGUGGUUGGCAGCUCUGUGUUGGACCAAUAAUGAAUACACUAAGCUGAUUGAAACCUUUUGCUGUGAUCAAGAUUGAUAUGCUGCCUCUGUGUUAGGAAAGAAAUCAAGAUAAGUUAUAGUCAGACUUCUUGUCUUGGUAAUGGACAUACUUCAGGUGAUUUAAGCUUUCUUCCAUUGUAAUGGACCCUAUGGUUAUCUCUAUGUAUUAAGAGCACCGAGAUUAAAAAUGGACCCUCUCAAACUGAUUUUAUAAUUCUUCCUUCAUCACAAGCUUUUUGGUUUCAUCUCUGUGAUAGGAGCUUAGCGAACAAAGUGAGUAAUAGCUUAAGUUCUUAUCUUGUUCUGGGUGGUUUGUUUAAGGAGAGUCACUAUAUUAUUAAUAAGUGUGGAAUAAAUUCAGAGAAAGUGAACUAUAGCCUAGUAAUAAACAUGAAGUUAAUAUGAAGUAUUAUAUUGUUUAAUGUAUAUGGGAAAUAUUAAAGAUAAUUAAUGAAAGAGAUAUAUUA
Long non-coding RNA from Otolemur garnettii (small-eared galago), 894 nucleotides. RefSeq lists it as uncharacterized. The transcript is spliced from 5 exons. NCBI's taxonomy places the organism in Eukaryota, Metazoa, Chordata, Mammalia, Primates, Galagidae. The record is from RefSeq and is a predicted model, not a curated record.